Molecule: long non-coding RNA, 648 nt
Organism: Oreochromis aureus
Lineage: Eukaryota; Metazoa; Chordata; Actinopteri; Cichliformes; Cichlidae
Exons: 4
Source: RefSeq, a predicted model, not a curated record
UUCUAACCGCCAUAUGUUGCUUCAGUUAUUUCCUACGAGCAUAUCUGGCGAUUUAACUGAAAACAUCAGAAGAGCCAUUUUGGCGGUCUUUCAGCAGUAGUGCAAUUUUAGUGGCUGCAGUCUCCACAAUCACCAAAGCACUUGGAAUCCAGCAAUGCAUCUGGACCAACUACAUAGACCUACUACCUCCACUGGAAUAUCAUAGCGCUUGUAACCUGGCUGGUCAUCAAGUUGCUCUUUUAAAUAAUACUCAGCUUCAUUUUGGAUGCUGGUCUUCCUCCAAUCACACAGUCUGGUUACGCUCACUUCCCCGCUGCACUCCAUCUGCCUGCCUCCCUGCCACAGCUUCUGGAGCAGUACAUUUUGGAUUCACUCAGGAGUGAAACCUCACCCAGACCUUUGGACUGCCCUCCUUCCACGCCGUACUCCACCUGCAACCUUGACUCUGCACUUCUUCGCCCGUGUGACAGCCCCUUCUUCCCCCAUUGGACCACUUUCAUGGACUUUUGAAUUUAACAUUAGUUCACAAAUUACGCUUCUCGUUUCUGGUUUAGUCUCAUAGUUCACAGUUCAUCGUCGAUACCUUAAAAGUAUAGGCAUAGUUCACAGUUUAUAGUUGUCACCUUAAAGUCUUGUCUCACUUAUAAA